GACGAACGCUGGCGGCGUGCUUAACACAUGCAAGUCGAACGGAAAGGCCCUGCUUUUGUGGGGUGCUCGAGUGGCGAACGGGUGUGUAACACGUGAGUAACCUGCCCUUGACUUUGGGAUAACUUCAGGAAACUGGGGCUAAUACCGGAUAGGAGCUCCUGCUGCAUGGUGGGGGUUGGAAAGUUUCGGCGGGUGGGGAUGGACUCGCGGCUUAUCAGCUUGUUGGUGGGGUAGUGGCUUACCAAGGCUUUGACGGGUAGCCGGCCUGAGAGGGUGACCGGCCACAUUGGGACUGAGAUACGGCCCAGACUGCUACGGGAGGCAGCAGUGGGGAAUAUUGCACAAUGGGCGGAAGCCGGAUGCAGCAACGCCGCGUGCGGGAUGACGGCUUUCGGGUUGUAAACCGCUUUCGCCUGUGACGAAGCGUGAGUGACGGUAAUGGGUAAAGAAGCACCGGCUAACUACGUG
This 468-nucleotide ribosomal RNA is filed under the name uncultured bacterium. RNAcentral's name for it is "partial 16S ribosomal RNA". It matches the Rfam family "Bacterial small subunit ribosomal RNA", at positions 28 to 507 of the family's 1533-position model. The record is from RNAcentral.